Suricata suricatta (meerkat) is the source of this 111-nucleotide small nuclear RNA. NCBI's taxonomy places the organism in Eukaryota, Metazoa, Chordata, Mammalia, Carnivora, Herpestidae. The record is from Ensembl.
GUGCUCGCUUUGACAGCACAUAUACUAAAAUUGGAACGAUACAGAGAAGAUUAGCAUGGCCCCUGCGCAAGGAUUACUACUUGGGUCAUGAUCUCAUGGUUCAUAAAUUCU